Molecule: ribosomal RNA, 460 nt
Filed under: uncultured bacterium
Lineage: Bacteria
Description: partial 16S ribosomal RNA
Rfam family: Bacterial small subunit ribosomal RNA
Source: RNAcentral
CCUACGGGAGGCAGCAGUGAGGAAUAUUGGUCAAUGGCCGUAAGGCUGAACCAGCCAAGUCGCGUGAAGGAAGAAGGAUCUCUGGUUUGUAAACUUCUUUUAUAGGGGAAUAAAGGUAUCCACUAGUGGAUAUUUUCAUGUACCCUAUGAAUAAGCGUAGGAUAACUCCGGGCCAGCAGCCGCGGUACUACGGAGGAUGCGGGCGUUAUCUGGAUUUAUUGGGUUUAAAGGGUACGUAGGUUGUUUUUUAAGUCAGCGGUGAAAGUUUGUGGCUCAACCAUAGAAUUGCCGUUGAAACUGGAAGACUGGAGUGCGUUAGGGGUAGGCGGAAUGCGUGGUGUAGCGGUGAAAUGCAUAGAUAUCACGCAGAACACCGAUUGCGAAGGCAGCUUACUAAGACAGAACUGACACUGAAGCACGAAAGCGUGGGGAGCAAACAGGAUUAGAUACCCGUGUAGUC